UCUCCGUAGGUGACCCUGGGGAGGGAUCAUUACUGAGUGAGGGUCUCCGGGCCCGACCUCCAACCCUUUUGUGAACCACCUCGUUGCUUCGGGGGCGACCCUGCCGUUCGCGGCGUGGGGCCCCCGGAGCCCAUCAAACCCUGCGUAACUAAGUUGUCGGAGUUUAAACAAAUGAAACAAAACUUUCAACAACGGAUCUCUUGGCUCUCGCAUCGAUGAAGAACGCAGC
This 229-nucleotide unclassified non-coding RNA is filed under the name uncultured fungus. Its description in RNAcentral is "sequence contains ITS1, 5.8S rRNA gene". The stretch from base 181 to 229 matches the Rfam family "5.8S ribosomal RNA", at positions 1 to 49 of the family's 154-position model. Lineage: Eukaryota; Fungi. The record is from RNAcentral.